GAUGAACGCUGGCGGCGUGCCUAAUACAUGCAAGUCGAGCGAACGGACGAGAAGCUUGCUUCUCUGAUGUUAGCGGCGGACGGGUGAGUAACACGUGGAUAACCUACCUAUAAGACUGGGAUAACUUCGGGAAACCGUAGCUAAUACCGGAUAAUAUUUUGAACCGCAUGGUUCAAAAGUGAAAGACGGUCUUGCUGUCACUUAUAGAUGGAUCCGCGCUGCAUUAGCUAGUUGGUAAGGUAACGGCUUACCAAGGCAACGAUGCAUAGCCGACCUGAGAGGGUGAUCGGCCACACUGGAACUGAGACACGGUCCAGACUCCUACGGGAGGCAGCAGUAGGGAAUCUUCCGCAAAGGGCGAAAGCCUGGCGGAGCAACGCCGCGUGAGUGAUGAAGGUCUUCGGAUCGUAAAACUCUGUUAUUAGGGAAGAACAUAUGUGUAAGUAACUGUGCACAUCUUGACGGUACCUAAUCAGAAAGCCACGGCUAACUACGUG
RNAcentral lists this ribosomal RNA (497 nucleotides) under uncultured bacterium. RNAcentral describes it as "partial 16S ribosomal RNA". It matches the Rfam family "Bacterial small subunit ribosomal RNA", at positions 28 to 507 of the family's 1533-position model. The record is from RNAcentral.